RNAcentral lists this ribosomal RNA (398 nucleotides) under uncultured bacterium. Its description in RNAcentral is "bacterial SSU rRNA". It matches the Rfam family "Bacterial small subunit ribosomal RNA", at positions 29 to 429 of the family's 1533-position model. The record is from RNAcentral.
AUUGAACGCUGGCGGAAUGCUUUACACAUGCAAGUCGAGCGGCAGCGCGGGGGCAACCCUGGCGGCGAGCGGCGAACGGGUGAGUAACAUAUCGGAACGUACCCAGUCGUGGGGGAUAACUAUCCGAAAGGAUAGCUAAUACCGCAUACGUCCUGAGGGAGAAAGCGGGGGAUCGCAAGACCUCGCGCGAUUGGAGCGGCCGAUAUCGGAUUAGCUAGUUGGUGGGGUAAAGGCUCACCAAGGCGACGAUCCGUAGCGGGUCUGAGAGGACGACCCGCCACACUGGAACUGAAGACACGGUCCAGACUCCUACGGGAGGCAGCAGUGGGGAAUUUUGGACAAUGGGGGCAACCCUGAUCCAGCCAUUCCGCGUGAGUGAAGAAGGCCUCGGUUGUAAG